Long non-coding RNA from Salvelinus sp. IW2-2015, 857 nucleotides. RefSeq lists it as uncharacterized. The record is from RefSeq and is a predicted model, not a curated record. NCBI's taxonomy places the organism in Eukaryota, Metazoa, Chordata, Actinopteri, Salmoniformes, Salmonidae.
CACACACACCAUCUCUCUGUGCCAACUAUGUGUGUGAGAGAGAGGGGGGGUAUUGACUUUUCCUGUGUGGAAAAUAACCAGGAUUCUGACAGUACAGCGGGAUUACUACAGCCAUAGAGCAGGAAGAGGAUCAGUACUCUGUCUCCCUAUUGGAAUCUCUCUAUUGUCUAGAUUUUAUCAAUMUGUGUGUGUGUGUGUGUGUUGUAGCUGUUGGGUGUGACUAGUAGGACAGUGGAAUUGUGUACGUUUUUUGGCGUCUAGUCUGGAGAAUAACAGGAACACUUAUUAGGUUCCUCCUUCCUGUGAGGUCAGAGGUCAGGAGGAAGUUGAUCAUGUGUCAUAUCUCACCAGACAUUCCUCCAUGUUUGUUUUCUCUGGGAGGCAUCUGGAACUUUCUUUCUAGCCAGAUGAGAAUGUGAAACAAUGUUAUCCCCUCUUCUUCUUUCUCUCUGACCGCGCUGCCCAUUCUGUUACUGAAGACCAACCCCUUCGGCCAAGAUAACUGUGUGGGGCGGGGGGUUAAAGAAGACGGACUAUGGACUCUGCUUCCUGUAUCUGCCACUGGACACACAAACGCCCAUGCACAGCCCCCUGAGUCUGUGCAACAUCGCUGUUCUUCCUACAUCGCUGAGGAAGGUCAAGAUGUGUGCUACAAACUAACCUCUUCCCGAAGAUACCGAAGAGAAUGCUUGAAUCAGUUUUCCUUUGGGUUCAUUAAAACAUCUCCAGUWCACCUGGAUCCCAGCUCAGCCCACUCUCUGGAGAGAGGAACAAUCUUGGUUCAACUCAACCCAUGGCUACAAUAACACUGUAGCAGAAACCUUACUGGAAUAAAACUGGAGAUUACUACAAUUAUA